This 589-nucleotide ribosomal RNA is filed under the name Streptomyces sp. YIM C565. Its description in RNAcentral is "bacterial SSU rRNA". It matches the Rfam family "Bacterial small subunit ribosomal RNA", at positions 50 to 656 of the family's 1533-position model. The record is from RNAcentral. Lineage: Bacteria; Bacillati; Actinomycetota; Actinomycetes; Kitasatosporales; Streptomycetaceae.
AACACAUGCAAGUCGAACGAUGAAGCCUUUCGGGGUGGAUUAGUGGCGAACGGGUGAGUAACACGUGGGCAAUCUGCCCUUCACUCUGGGACAAGCCCUGGAAACGGGGUCUAAUACCGGAUAACACUCUGUCCCUCAUGGGGCGGGGUUAAAAGCUCCGGCGGUGAAGGAUGAGCCCGCGGCCUAUCAGCUUGUUGGUGGGGUAAUGGCCUACCAAGGCGACGACGGGUAGCCGGCCUGAGAGGGCGACCGGCCACACUGGGACUGAGACACGGCCCAGACUCCUACGGGAGGCAGCAGUGGGGAAUAUUGCACAAUGGGCGAAAGCCUGAUGCAGCGACGCCGCGUGAGGGAUGACGGCCUUCGGGUUGUAAACCUCUUUCAGCAGGGAAGAAGCGAAAGUGACGGUACCUGCAGAAGAAGCACCGGCUAACUACGUGCCAGCAGCCGCGGUAAUACGUAGGGUGCGAGCGUUGUCCGGAAUUAUUGGGCGUAAAGAGCUCGUAGGCGGCUUGUCACGUCGGAUGUGAAAGCUCGGGGCUUAACCCCGAGUCUGCAUUCGAUACGGGCUAGCUAGAGUGUGGUAGGG